AUACGUAGGGGACGAGCGUUGUCCGGAAUUACUGGGCGUAAAGGGCGCGCAGGCGGAUAUUUAAGUCAGCUGUAAAAGGCAUGAGCUCAACUCAUGUAUGCGGUUGAAACUGGGUAUCUAGAGUGCUGGAGAGGUAGGCGGAAUUCCCGGGGUAGCGGUGAAAUGCGUAGAUAUCGGGAAGAACACCAGUGGCGAAGGCGGCUUACUGGCCAGCAACUGACGCUGAGGCGCGAAAGCCAGGGGAGCGAACGGGAUUAGAUACCCCGGUAGUCCUGGCCGUAAACGAUGAAUGCUAGGUGUGGGUGUCGAGAGGCAUCCGUGCCGGAGUUAACGCGAUAAGCAUUCCGCCUGGGGAGUACGAUCGCAAGAUUGAAACUCAAAUGAAUUGACGGGG
This 394-nucleotide ribosomal RNA is filed under the name uncultured bacterium. RNAcentral's name for it is "partial 16S ribosomal RNA". It matches the Rfam family "Bacterial small subunit ribosomal RNA", at positions 523 to 918 of the family's 1533-position model. The record is from RNAcentral.